This 253-nucleotide ribosomal RNA is filed under the name uncultured bacterium. RNAcentral describes it as "partial 16S ribosomal RNA". It matches the Rfam family "Bacterial small subunit ribosomal RNA", at positions 524 to 776 of the family's 1533-position model. The record is from RNAcentral.
UACGAGGGGGGCAAAUGUUGUUCGGAAUCACUGGGCGUAAAGGGAGCGUAGGCGGUCUUCUAAGUUAGAUGUUUAAUCCCGGGGCCCAACCCCGGACAGGCACCUAAAACUGGAAGUCUUGAAUAGUGGAGAGGACGGCGGAAUUGGGGGUGUAGCGGUGGAAUGCGUAGAGAUCCCCAAGAACACCAGUUGCGAAGGCGGCCGUCUGGACACAUAUUGACGCUGAGGCUCGAAAGCAUGGGGAGCAAACAGG